ACGGAAAUCUGGGAACUCCUGAAGGGUUUGCCAAAAACGUUCCGUCAAGCUUUGAACGUGCCCAAGGAUGGGCAGCGCCGAUCAGUUGUAGGUGAGUAACGGCUCACCAAGCCUUGGACCGGUUCGGCCCGUGGAAGCGUUAGCCCGGAGAUGGGCACUGAGACAAGGGCCCAGGCCCUACGGGGCGCAGCAGUCGCGAAAACUUCGCAAUAAGCGAAAGCUUGACGGGGCCAUCCCGAGUGCCAUCUGCUGAGGAUGGCUUUUACCCAGUAUAGAUAGCUGGGGGAAUAAGGAGAGGGCAAGUCUGGUGUCAGCCGCCGCGGUAAUACCAGCUCUCCGAGUUGUGGGGACGUUUAUUGAGCCUGAAGCAUCCGUAGCCGGCUGGGCAAGUCCUCUGUUAAAUCCAGCGACUAAUCGUUGGCCUGCGGGGGAUACUGCUCGGCUAGGGGGCGGGAGAGGCCGUCGGUAUUCUUGGGGUAGGGGUGAAAUCCUAUAAUCCCAGGAGGACCACCAGUGGCGAAGGCUGUCGGCUAGAACGCGCCCGACGGUGAGGGAUGAAAGCUGGGGGAGCGAACCGGAUUAGAUACCCGGGUAGUCCCAGCUGUAAACGAUGCAGGCUAGGUGUUAGGGCGGCUACGUGCCGCUCUAGUGCCGCAGGGAAGCUGUUAAGCCUGCCGCCUGGGGAAACGCCGGCAAGGCUGAACUUAAAGGCCA
Molecule: ribosomal RNA, 714 nt
Filed under: uncultured soil archaeon
Lineage: Archaea
Description: bacterial SSU rRNA
Rfam family: Archaeal small subunit ribosomal RNA
Source: RNAcentral